GAGUUCUCAACUCAUUCUCAGUGUUCAUAGUACUUUUUCGUGGUACUUUUCACUAAAGUACAACAAUCUAAAUACUAGGGCUGCAACAACGAAUUGAUAAAAUCGCUAAAAGUCGAGUAAAGGAAGCGUGUUGUGCUCUGGCGCCCCCUGUGGACUGAAGCGGUGUUGCCUCUGAGCACCAGGGUCCCUUCAGAACGUCUCAUUUAACAGGAAAACAGAAACACUUUGUUGCUCCUCAUUUGUAGCCGAUUCUGAUUGGUUGAAAAGAGGCGUGUUGUUAAAAUGUUGAAGUGGUUUUAUAUUAGAGUGACAUUAAUGAACGUGCACUAACCCACUAAUCGCUGCACGACGCUGGCAGGUGACUCGUCUCCAGUACCUGAACGCUCUCAUGGCGUCGCGGGUCGGUCACAGUCCAGAUCCUCCAGAGAUUAAGAUCCUGCCCAACAGUCAGACCAAGCUGCUCAACGACAGAAACUCACAGCCAGAGUUCCCCGUCAACUUUUCCUUCUUUGAUACCAUUGAGAAUUACUGUGGCAGCAGCGCCCAGGUGAGCUCCACAGAAGAGGAGGCUCAUGGGUAAUGCGGCGCUCACCUGCUGCAGGAGAUUCUUUAACCAAUGAAUCAUUGUGGCUGAAACGUCGUUAUUGGACCAAACUGGAGCCAGAGAUUUUAUUUCUUCUUUAAAUUCCUUUUAUUUGAUUUUAAUCACAAUUAUUUUAUGCUGUUUUAUACACUUUAUGUGUAGAUGAAUAAAUAUAAAUGUAUUUUGUUUUAAUUCAACAUGUUUCUCCAGGUUUUAUACUAAACUGUGUGUGUGUGUGUGUGUGUGUGUGUGUGUGUGUGUGUGUGUGUGUGUGUGUGUGUGUGUGUGUGUGUGUGUGAACACGCCUCUGAAUGAACCCUUUUGUUUGUACAUUUAUUAACAAUGUAUAAUUUAUUAUUUUACUGCAACAACACGGUAAAAUAAGAUCAACUCUAAAGUUUAAAGGAGGCUGAAAGAAGAAGCGACCAGUCGUUUUAAUUUGCCGAUAACCGUCAAAUCGUUUACUUCAGUAAAAGUCAAAUGACGGCUCACUAAACCGUACUGCUAGUAUUUAAAAGUAUUAAUACAUCAGUGACGUGUUUCAUUCAUAUUCAUCCUGCAUUCAUGUUGCACGUUAACUCCUUCAUGUCCUUUUAUUUAGCUUCAUCUUCAUCAUUCUAUUUGUGAUAAACUGAAGGAUGAAGUGAUGUUUUUUCUGGGCAGGAAGAUGAAAAACUAAUCUGAGAAGAAACUAAAGCGUCACACGAAUAUAAUAAAAGUCAAAUAUUUACCUCUGAGAGGUUCAUUUGUAAAUUAACGUCAAAUAUAAAGUGCUGCAGUGAAGUACCUUGACUUUCCACUGGAGUGCAGUACUUGUACUUGUACACCAGAUGUACUCUGUAUUCUGUUUCUUUCAGCGCAGCAGGACAAGUUUUAAAAUGAGCUUCAGCGCCGUCGUCAUGGUUACGCUCUUUGUCCCCCAGAGACUCGUCCUGGAGUAUAGAGUGGAUUUUAUUUUAUGACCCUUUUCCUUUCUUUGUUGCAAUGAGUUCAUUUGGUUUCAGGAGACUGAAUGUAUAUAAUAUAAUAAUAAAAAGAUAAUCCCGACUGCUGAUGGAGAGAAAUGUUUGUUAAUAUCUGACCGUUUACAGCAGAAUGAGGACGUACUUUAUUGGGAUCAUUUCUUUCAGGUACAAUAACGACGUUAUUAAGAGAUUUAAAGUUAAAAUCGUUCCUCUUUCUGUUUGAUCUGAUUUUUUGGGACCGUUGCUGCUGCCUGUGUUUUAUUUUGGCGGUGCGUUGAGAGACUCCAUCACAUUUAACACUUUCAAUACUCAAGUUUCUUAGUAAUAAACUCCAGCCUGUUAUAAAAUACGUGCUUGUUGUUUGUGUGUUGUUGUUGCCACGGUGACGCGGCCCAAAACACCACAAGGCGACUUCAGUAGGAUAUUUACUGCAGGAUGAAACCUUCAAGUUGCACCUGAAGCACCGAGCUCAGUAGUUUGUGUUGUUUGGAGACGACUCUGCGUUAACGUUCAUACGGUUAAUAAACCAAGUUAUUUAUUA
Molecule: non-coding RNA, 2089 nt
Organism: Gasterosteus aculeatus aculeatus (three-spined stickleback)
Lineage: Eukaryota; Metazoa; Chordata; Actinopteri; Perciformes; Gasterosteidae
Source: RefSeq, a predicted model, not a curated record